AUUGAACGCUGGCGGCAUGCCUUACACAUGCAAGUCGAACGGCAGCACGGGUGCUUGCACCUGGUGGCGAGUGGCGAACGGGUGAGUAAUACAUCGGAACGUACCUUAUCGUGGGGGAUAACGCAGCGAAAGUUGCGCUAAUACCGCAUACGCCCUGAGGGGGAAAGCGGGGGACCGUAAGGCCUCGCGCGAUUAGAGCGGCCGAUGUCUGAUUAGCUUGUUGGUGAGGUAAAAGCUCACCAAGGCGAUGAUCAGUAGCUGGUCUGAGAGGACGAUCAGCCACACUGGGACUGAGACACGGCCCAGACUCCUACGGGAGGCAGCAGUGGGGAAUUUUGGACAAUGGGGGCAACCCUGAUCCAGCAAUGCCGCGUGAGUGAAGAAGGCCUUCGGGUUGUAAAGCUCUUUUGUCAGGGAAGAAACAGCAGCUCUAACACAGUCUGCGAAUGACGGUACCUGAAGAAUAAGCACCGGCUAACUACGUGCCAGCAGCCGCGGUAAUACGUAGGGUGCGAGCGUUAAUCGGAAUUACUGGGCGUAAAGCGUGCGCAGGCGGUUAUACAAGACAGGCGUGAAAUCCCCGGGCUUAACCUGGGAAUGGCGUCUGUGACUGUAUAGCUAGAGUGUGUCAGAGGGGGGUGGAAUUCCACGUGUAGCAGUGAAAUGCGUAGAUAUGUGGAGGAACACCAAUGGCGAAGGCAGCCCCCUGGGAUAACAC
RNAcentral lists this ribosomal RNA (718 nucleotides) under uncultured bacterium. Its description in RNAcentral is "bacterial SSU rRNA". It matches the Rfam family "Bacterial small subunit ribosomal RNA", at positions 28 to 740 of the family's 1533-position model. The record is from RNAcentral.